This 707-nucleotide ribosomal RNA is filed under the name Hydnellum caeruleum. RNAcentral's name for it is "eukaryotic LSU rRNA". The stretch from base 244 to 396 matches the Rfam family "5.8S ribosomal RNA". The record is from RNAcentral. Lineage: Eukaryota; Fungi; Basidiomycota; Agaricomycetes; Thelephorales; Thelephoraceae.
CAGGAUAACAAUAAACGGNGGGAAAUGGGAGGUUGUUGCUGGCCUUAUUANGUAUGUGCACACNANANCUGGACUUGUCUACAAUGUCCCCUUUACACCCCAUGUGCACAUCUGUAGCUGAGGGAUGAUUACGGAGUUUGCCAUUCGGUUGACUCUGAAUGCUCUCGCUAUGUUCAUACUAUACAUACGCAUAUAAUGUCAUUUGGAAUGUUUGUCUAGCGUGUAACAGCGCGAAUGCAAUACAACUUUCAGCAACGGAUCUCUUGGCUCUCGCAUCGAUGAAGAACGCAGCGAAAUGCGAUAAGUAAUGUGAAUUGCAGAAUUCAGUGAAUCAUCGAAUCUUUGAACGCACUUGCGCUCCUUGGUAUUCCGAGGAGCAUGCCUGUUUGAGUGUCAUGAAAUUCUCAACUGCUUUGGAUUUUGUUUCAAAGUGAAGUUGGAUUUGGAGUUGUUAUUGUCGGCAUUGCUCGACUGCUCCUAAAAGCAUUGAAAGCCUGUUCUGAUAGAUCUUGGCAUAUUUGACGUGAUAAUUGUCUACGUCGCAAGCCUUUUGAAGGGCAGGAGUGAGACUUGUUGCAAGCUUGCUUCUGUUGGGGGAACAGCUUUAUUAUAUCGAUCCACACUUANGUCUUUAUUGAUCGUAUGUUGUGUUUCAUUGACCCAUUUGACCUCNAAUCANGCAGGACUACCCGCUGAACUUAAGCAUA